AACGCACGAGACCUGCGGACCUGCGGAGGGAUCAUUACCACACCUAAAAACACCCUUCCACGUGAACCGUUUUGUUUUGCUUUCGAGUGCUUUGUUGCGCUCGGAGCAUGUUUGGGCUUCGCUGCUGGCGCUUGAUUGUGCUGGCGGCUCGAGGCCAUCAAGUGGCGUUUUGAGUGUGCUUGCGCAAUUGAGACGUCCAAACCUUUUAAACCCAUUUGAUCGAAAACUGAAGUAUACUGU
RNAcentral lists this unclassified non-coding RNA (240 nucleotides) under soil metagenome. RNAcentral describes it as "partial contains 5.8S ribosomal RNA, internal transcribed spacer 2, and large subunit ribosomal RNA". The record is from RNAcentral.